AAGUCGUAACAAGGUAACCGUAGGUGAACCUGCGGUUGGAUCAUUAGUGGUUUUUACGUAGCGCUGUUGUAGUGUUUCUGUGUGGGGUUGGUCUUUGGUUUUGGUGUUGUCUUUUUGUUUGUCUGUUUUUGUGCAUUGCCUUGUGCGAUGUCUUGUGCCUUGCCUUGUGCCUUGCCUUGUGCCUUGCCUGGCAGUACAAACGAUCGACGGCAACACUCGGACCAGACCCAAGCCCUUACAGACAAUAGACGUCUUUGCUUGCUUUGAUGAAACCAAAUCAAAAACAACUUUUGACAACGGAUCUCUUGGCUCUC
This 314-nucleotide unclassified non-coding RNA is filed under the name fungal sp. RNAcentral's name for it is "partial internal transcribed spacer region". The stretch from base 1 to 46 matches the Rfam family "Eukaryotic small subunit ribosomal RNA", at positions 1786 to 1831 of the family's 1831-position model. The record is from RNAcentral. Lineage: Eukaryota; Fungi.